GAUGAACGCUGGCGGCGUGCCUAAUACAUGCAAGUCGAGCGAACGGACGAGAAGCUUGCUUCUCUGAUGUUAGCGGCGGACGGGUGAGUAACACGUGGAUAACCUACCUAUAAGACUGGGAUAACUUCGGGAAACCGGAGCUAAUACCGGAUAAUAUUUUGAACCGCAUGGUUCAAAAGUGAAAGACGGUCUUGCUGUCACUUAUAGAUGGAUCCGCGCUGCAUUAGCUAGUUGGUAAGGUAACGGCUUACCAAGGCAACGAUGCAUAGCCGACCUGAGAGGGUGAUCGGCCACACUGGAACUGAGACACGGUCCAGACUCCUACGGGUGGCAGCAGUAGGGAAUCUUCCGCAAAGGGCGAAAGCCUGACGGAGCAACGCCGCGUGAGUGAUGAAGGUCUUCGGAUCGUAAAACUCUGUUAUUAGGGAAGAACAUAUGUGUAAGUAACUGUGCACAUCUUGACGGUACCUAAUCAGAAAGCCACGGCUAACUACGUG
RNAcentral lists this ribosomal RNA (497 nucleotides) under uncultured bacterium. Its description in RNAcentral is "partial 16S ribosomal RNA". It matches the Rfam family "Bacterial small subunit ribosomal RNA", at positions 28 to 507 of the family's 1533-position model. The record is from RNAcentral.